AGGAAGCGGAUGGCCACCCAGCCGCCGGCCGGCACGCCGACGGUGUUCCGCUCGACGGGGUCGACGAGGUUGAACUUGGCCGGGUCGUUGACGGGGUCGUAGUUGCCGUACCCUUGACCGACGACGAAGAAGUUGAAGCCGUGGAGGUGCAGCGGGUGGCUCUCGAUGCCGAGGAUGCUGGUGCCCUGCAUCACCAGCUCCACGUUGGUGCCGUACGGGAUCACCAUCAGCUUGGUCCCGUUGGCCACGUUGGUGUUGUUGGGCGGCGUCCCCGUGUAGUUGAACGGCGUCAGGGGCGCGACGGGGAAGUCCGACGAGUAGACGCCGCUGGACAGGCCGGUGAAGUGCGAGUGCAGCAGCGCCCUGGUCGGGAGCGCGAAGGAGACGUUGUUCACGGACGCCGCGAACUGCGUCGUGUUCGUGGGGCCCUGGCACGUCGUGUUGGCGGGGCACGGGUGCGUGCCGAGCCCGACGGUGAAGAAGAACUUCUUGUCCACCGUCUUCGGCACGGCCGCCGGGUACUGCGCGGUCGCGAGGCUCCGGAGCUUUGCCGUGAAGUUGCCGACGAAGUCGGUGUCGUUGAACCCCGGCAGCGUCGGCUUGUAGAGCGGCAGAGCCUUGUUGAAGCUCGGCGCGGAGGAAGGGGCGUCGGGGUACUCGUACUCGAGGAUGCCGGCGACGGUGGUGUUGUCGAAGGUGCCCGGCCUGGUGGUGGAGUAGGGCGCGGCGGACAUGUAGUAGUUGGCGCCGGGGUAGAAGGGCUUGGCGGUGAGGAGCACGUUGGUGGUCUGCCCCGGGGCGAUGAGCAGGGUGUCGACAGUGAAGGGCUUGACGUAGACGGCGUCGACCUCGACGACGGUGAGCGAGUGGUUGGCGAUGGAGAAGAAGAGCUCGUCGUUGAGCGCGGCGUUGAUGAGGCGGAGCAUGUACGUCUUCCCGGGCUUCACCUUCAGCUUGUACGUGUCUGCGUGUCACACGUGCAGGCAGGACAGUGCGGAUUACAACAAAGUUUUUCGAUGCCGACGUGUAUCGGAAUAGAAAGCGCACCUAUCUGGAGGCGUAACUAAGAUUUCGUUUACGUCACACACCGGCCGGGACCCACCGCCGGCGAGGUUGCUUUUUAGUGCACCAAAAUGUGUUAGGUCAAGUACAAGUUUAUUGGAUCCCAUGACGGCGACGUUUUGCGUAAAUUCCCACAGCCAACAGCCAAUGCAAAGAUCCCGUUUCCAGAAAGGAACUCGGAAUCUUCUUUGCCUUUGGUGAUUUGAACCCCCCACCUUCGUGAAAACGAGGCCUCUUUUAUGAUCGAGUUUCAAAACGUAACUUGGACAUGCAUGGAGAAAAUGAAAACCAGGGGGGCGCCCGUAGACGUCACCUUUUCCUUUCUGUUAGCACUGCUGCUUAGACUCUUUGCUUGCUCAUCAGCGUCGUCUUUUCUUUUUGUUUCGUUUUGUAUUUUUAGAUGCCAUGCCUAGCUCGUCCUUGCUUUGAAACUCCGUAACACUGACGCGUAGCUUCACUAGUGUAAUCCAGACCAAAAGGAAAAAAAAAAAGAAAAAGAGAACAUAACCCGUACCUUUGGCAGAGCAGUUGUAGAGCGGUCCUGGGAGGCCGUUGAUGGUGUGGGCGUCAGAGACAUUCGGUCCACCGCCGGUCUGAAGCGCCUGCUUGAUCACCACCUCCGUGUCCGCCUGCCACCACUCACCUACCACCCAAAACGAAUCGCAUUUCGCGAUCGCACACAAAAUGGAUCAGUACCAUCAUCAACAACAGCAACACGAUCGUUUUCUCGUGGCGUUCGGCCGUUCACGUCGGCCGGCGGCGGAGACAGCAGACACACUCACCGAAGAUGACGGGGACCUCCUUGUAGGGCGCCGGGAACGGGUAGGGCACGCCGAGCUUGGGGAGGAUGACGAUGGGCCCGUAGACGGUGGCGCGGAGCCAGGAGAUGUGCGCGUGCCACCACAGGGUGCCGCGCUGCCCGACGACGGUGAAGUUGUACACGUAGCUCUGCCCCGUCUGGAUCGGGCACUGCGUGAUGUACGCCGGCCCGUCCGCCCACCCCGUCCGCAGCUGCCGGAUGCCGUGCCUGAUCAGAGUGUUCAGAGAAAAAUUUUCAGAGCUAGUAGCGUUCCCGGCAGGUGGCAGGGAUGAGAUAUUCUUGGAACGAACUUUUUGCGGGUGUUGUUGUGCCGCUACGACGACGAAGUAAUGCUAAAAGUGGGUGCACCAGCGCGCGCACUUUUGACUUCAAAUCACGCUCGUACGGGAGAGAGAGUAGGAUCGGAUCACUUACCAGUGCAGCGAGACGUUGUGCUGUGCGUGGUUGGUGACGCGGACGACGACGCGGUCGCCUUCCCUGGCGACGAGCUCGGGGCCGGGGAACUGCCCGUUCACCGUGACGAUGCUCUUGCUGGAGCACAGCCGCGUCACGUUCGCCAUUGUCACCUGCGUGCAUUUAGGGUUCAUCGAUGGUCAAGAUCACGUACUAGAGAUAGCACAAUCAAGACGGCCGUACGCGAGUAGCAUGGUAAGGAAAACGUGUGUACUAGCAGGCGAUCAAGAUAACACAAUCAAUGCAACGACGUACAUUGAAGUCGUAGUAUCUCGUGAUGCCUUGCACUUCGACGAUGGAGGCGAGGAGCAUCAGGGCCGCCACGAGGAGGGAGCACGGACGAAGAGCGGAGGAGAUCGCCAUCGCCAUGGCCCUGGCCAAACUUCUAGGCUCUGAUGACCGAUGGAGCAGCUAGCUAUCUGAAGUUGCUUUCGAUCGAGCUCUAGAGGCGACCGAAGAGAUGGAAGAGGAGCAACAAAUGUGUGGGUGUGUUGGGACAAGCGCUAGAGUCCUCUCCAUAUAUAGGGCAUGGCGAGCAAGCGCAAGUGUAUGGCAACUACCACCGCCACAUUUUCUUAGGUUUUUUACACGGUCGACAGGCACGCAGCUUGGGCGGCACUAUUAGUUUGGUGAUUCGGUAGAUGAGCGAUCAAGGGCGCAGGCAGGCCAGCUGCUCGAGCUAGCUGGAGUGCUCUAGCUUUAGAGUGUGGCCAAAGAAUGCGGCAACGAUCCCUUCUCUUUUGACCAUGCACGCACUGGGGUGAUCGCCGGCCGCUAGUUUAGUUUUGGUGAUUUGCAUGCCGUCACGUACCCUUUCCGGCGCAAGAGUUCGCCGACGGAAACUGAAAGGCAAACAAACUGCGUGCGUGCACAAGAGUAAAAACCGUUGUCUUGGUGGUGGUAAAGGAAAAGGUACGGUAGAUGGAUAUUUGCGAAGAAGAAUUCCCAACCAUCAGAGACAAAAUCUUGUCGCGCUAUUGUUCUGCAAAAGGGCUUGUUAUGUACUCCCUCCGUCCCAAAUUAUACGCCGUUUUAGUUUUUCUAGAUUCAUAACUUUUACCAUAUAUCCUAUAUCUAAAUAUAUACUAUGUCUAGAUACACAAUGAAAGCUAUGAACCUAGAAAAACCAAAACGACCUAUAAUUUGGGACGGGGGAGUAAUAUACAUGUUCCAUGAAAGAUCUUGUCCUAUACAAUGGGUAAUUUGACAUUUUGACAAUUGAAUGGUGAUGGCUUAUUAUUGGUCCCUAAUUCGUACUUGCUGGUUUAGACGACCCUGAACAAAAUCAGGGAGGUCAAGUGUCAAAAUCUACAGAUAAUAGGUGCUCUACAAGCAAUUGGGAAUCGAUUUCUUGAAGCAAAUAUUCCAUAUCCUUCACACUUAUUAAUAAAGCAAAUUGUUGAUUACACUGGCAUCUAGUGUUGAAAAAUAUGUUUACCUGUAUUUUGACAAGGCCAUCUAGAUAAUGACACCCAAAUAAAAAGAGGAAAAAGAUCUUCUAGGAACUGUGUGCAAAGGUUACUUCCUAAUUAGGUUGUGCAGCUUAAUCAAAACUACAUGAUGCAAAUAAUCCAUGAUUCACGUGGGCCACCAAAAAUUCUCGAAAGGGAGAAAAGAAUUUUUUUUCAUGGGGCAUCAACUAAAAAAGAAAGAAAACAGUUCGUCGCUGUCACCAACAUACUACGUAGCUUCCUACUACGUUCCCAUUUCUCCAAGUUCAGAAACCGGUUGACGCAGGUUUUUUCACCUACAGUUCAGUGAAUCUACGAGUUGUAGGAGUGUAUGUUUAAGAAUGGAUGCAUGAUCCCUUGCCAUGGAUCCCAAGACACCAUCCAUCCAGUAGGUGCUACCUGCAUGGUUGGUGUCUUAGCGUGUGUUCUUUCCUUGUACAAUGCACAACGGGGAGAAGGAUGCUUGACCCAACACGAUUGAGCGAUGCAACGUUUCCUUCCUCUUACUUUAUUGACUGAAAAAGAAGGAAGGCGGACCAACAGUAACAUGUAAAAAAAAAGGAAUGCAUUGAAUUUGCUCUCGCAACUCUCCCGGCCCUACUUCUAAUGAGGCAUUUCGGCGCAGAAAAAAUGCUUGUUUUGAAAUGCUAUAUGCAUAAUUAGUUAACUUGAUCGUUGGUAUGUGCAUUCAAAAGUAACUAGGUUAAUUGUUCAAGGUAGACAUUGAUAUGUGCUGCCAUAUUUAAUCAGACUUUUUAUCUCUAUUUCAUUUCUAUGUAAAUAAACAGAAAUAUGCACAUCUAUCAACUCUCUUAUAAAGAUCAUAACAUUUAAAAUACCAAAAUAAUAAUGAAAGAAUCACGAAGGUUUUUGACCAAUAAUAAAAAAAUCAUGAAUUUGCCCAGUGCUGAUUUAACUUCCUGACGAGAUUUUAAGCCUUAUUAGUGGACUUUAUAUUAUGUACUACAAAUAAUCAUAUUUGUUUAUAUUAACUUUUGAAACAAUGAUAAGUACAAGGUUUUCCUAAAUCAUAGAGAAACUAUUAGUAAUACAUGUAAAUCAAUCAUAAUAUUUUCUGUACCAAGUAAUGCAAUGAUUCACUGAUAUGAUGGAGUAACAAGCAGUCUAGGAUAUGAUACUUUUAAAAAAAAUUUAGCUCGCCUCAAUGUUUCAUGUCUCUAUCUGUGAUCCAUACUGAACAAAAAGGUUAAUAAAUGACAGUGACCAAUUUUAAUUAAGCAUUCCCUAAUAAUGAUCGGUGACCGGAUGCCACAGAAUUGGUUUGAUUUUGGGCUCGGUUCAUAUUUCUGAAGUACCCCCAUCAUUAUUAAUUCUUAUGUAUUAUGACUGAAGUAGAAAGAGUGGCUAGGUCUUGCAAUAAUUUCUUAAAAACAAUUACAACACAAGUCACCACAUAUUUACAGAACCACAGGAUCGACUAUUUCCCUUGUUUCUCAUAAAAGUAAAAGAUCGACACAUGAGGAAAAUAGUUUUAUUCCUCAAAGAUCAAUUGCAAUCAUGGAAGCAAGGAAUAAAAUUAACCACAAGAUCGACUAUUUUCCUUGUUUCUCAUAAAAGCAGUUGCAGUUCAGGUAUCCAUGGCGUGGAAUAAAACUAACCACAAUAGUUUAUGAAGCACAAAUAGGUGAACAAGUGUCCUUCCUUGAUUGCAAUUGCUUUCCUCUCAUUUUCUUGAAAGAACAGAAGGCGCAAGCCCCUGCUGGUUAAUAUACUGAAAUAAAAUUAAGGUUAUUUACAGAGAGUCCAAAAGAAGAAAAAAAGAGACCAAAAAAAGAUUGACAACAAAUUACUGGAAUGAAUCUUUGCAGAUACUGAAAUCCGGGAAGUAACUCUUCUUUGCCCUAUGAAUAAGCAUGGCAAAUUCAUGUCAAAACUUGGUCUUUCUUACUGCAUCUAUUGUUAGGGCAACGUGAUUCAAGAUCGGUCAGUACAUGGAAGCAAGGAAAUUCACCCAGAGCGGUCAGUACACCACAGCUUCAGCAUACAAGGCUCAACUACUAGGUAGCGUCAAGACGCUAAACCUGGCAACAGUGUGGCAAGCCUGGGCACCGGCAAAAUGCAAAGUUUUUGCCUGGCUGAUUCUCCAAAAUAGGGUCUGGACUUCGGACAGAUUAGCAAAACGGGGCUGGGACCACACCCCUACUUGCACCCUAUGCCGCUGCACGAUGGAGACUGCGCAUCACCUCCUUGCCGAAUGCAGAUAUACAAAACAAAUCUGGAAGCUCGUAGCCCAAUGGCUAUCACAGGGAAGCCUACAACCGGAUCAAUGGAAACACAGUACAAGGGCCAUCGAUUGGUGGAUCAAUAUCACAUCAACACCAGAGAUCCCACAUAAAGCGUGCAGAAGCCUAACCCUCCUGAUUAUGUGGGAGAUAUGGAAUGAACGAAACUCCCGAAUCUUCCGCCACAAGGGUUCCCCGACGACAUCACUAAUGGCAAAAAUCAAAUCCUCAGCUCAUAUGUGGCUAGCAGCGGGAGCGAGAGACCUAGCGGCCCUUCUACCGUAAACACGCCUCUCUGAUGCCCCAACGCCGCUUUUUCCUUUUCCUUUUCCUUUCUUUUCCGUUUUUUUGGCCGGCCCGCCGGUUGUAACUCCCCUAUAUCAAUGAAAUAGGCACACUCUCGUGCCCUUUCCGUUCAAAAAAAAAACGUGAUUCAAGAUCUGAGCAUUUCUAAUUUCUGACCAUUUUAGUCCAUGUAUCCCUAAUAUAGCUUAAGUCAAUGCAGUUUUCAAAAUGUGCAUCUCUCUAAAUUUUUAUCUUUGUAUAGCAAUUCAGGGGGCUUCCACCUUGUAUUAAUGGAAAAGAGCCAUUAUGAACGAGCUAGAAAACGGGCACAAGACUUGCAAACCCAACAAGAUACCAUGCAUCCCAGGUACACAAAGAGUAGAAAAGAAAAGGGCAAAAAAACAACCCCGAUGAAGAACAAAGAGAGAAUCAAACAACACAUGACUCUGAAAUUAUUUUUUCAUUGGGUACCUUGAAUAAUUUAUCAGGUUUAAGUUUUUAGUUAAACUCAAAGAGAAGUAGCAAAUUUCUUUUUUUUUCCGUGGAUGUUGAUGUCCCAAGCCCUAGCAUGCAACUCCGGUGACACCCCCUCCCCCCACACCGCCACCUCCACCGCCGCCGCCGCUUCACCUGUCGCAUCCACCUCCUCCGCUCCUGCCGCCGCAACACCCUCCUCCCCUCUAGUGGGAGAUGAGACAGCCCCUUCGCGCCGCCGCCUCCGGGGGACUCGACAGUCUGCUAGCCCCUCCUUCCGCGUCCUUGGCCGGUCGGACCGCGCCUCGGUGGGGCUUAUCUCCGCCCGGCCUGGGGGCUGAUGGCGUCAGACUCCCGGCCCGCAGCCUCUCACCGGGGGAAGCAUUUCGUGACUUCGCACUUCACAAUUUCCAUGCCACUGUCUUCGCCCAGGUCUCGUCAGCCUCUCCCCUCCUGUCACCCUCCGACCUCUGGGUCUCCCCCUACCCUCACCUUCCCGUUUGCAAUCUUGCUUGGUUUCGGAACACCCUGAACUACUGGCUGGAUAGCGUGGUCCUUGCCAUCCCGCUUGUCCAAGUUGCCACUACCAUCUUCCGCGUCUCCCUUGCUCACCACACCAUCGCCCAGUUCAUUCUCACUCUCGGCGACUUGUGCCACGGCCGCAUCCGCCUGAGGUUCUUCCCUGACCUCUGCUCCGCCGCCGCAUCCAUCCCCAUUUCAAACUCUUCGGUCAUCCUUUCGGCAGGAUCCUAGGCAGCCUCCUCUGGGCCAGCUUCUCCGACCCAUCGCAGCUGCCUCCGGAUGGCCCACCACCCCAGCGCUCGCCUGGCGCCUCCCCCAAGGGUGGCGACCCCGAGGGUGGCGCACCGCUGCAGGCGCAUGCACGUCUCGUCAGCUCUGUCCUGGCUGCUUCGUAGGGCGUGCAUGGCUACGUUGCCCCUGCGCCCGGUGCACCUUACCUACCAGGGACGGGCCUUCCCCACCAUCCGCGGUGCCAGGUGGCGCCGAUCCACCCGCCCCGUCGUGCGCCGGGUGCCCUGGGCUCCUCCCCCUACCGGUGGACAGGGGUUUCUUUCCACCGCUACACGCCCCCCUGACUCCUCCACCCUCCCAUCCCCGAAAAACCCCAACUCCACCCUCCUACGUUGUCGUCGCUUCAUCUUCCCCCUUCACUGAUCGCCAUCGCCGCACCCUCUACCCCCGCACCCGCCACGCCACACACUCACCACCAACCACCGCCACUGCUUCCGAUGCCUCACGCUUGACCACCGCCAUGCAGCCUGCCGCGACCCCAUCCAUUGUCGUCGCUGCUGGGUCUUCGGCCACAUCGAGUGUUUCUGUCGUGCGCCUCGGCACCCCGUUGCUCGCAGCAUGUUGGGUAUCCAUUUGAUGGUCCACCAGUCACCGACUCCGAGUCCUCCUCGCCAGCGAUGGCCUCCUCGCACUCGGCGGCAACCUCUAGCUCCAACCUGUCGGCUUCCCCGCCGGUCCCUGUCCACGCCGACAUCAAUGACUUGGCGGUGGAUGCCCUGGAGGAGGGUGAGAUCCCGCCGUCCGGGUCUGACCUGGAGGCCAUCGUCGACGCCAACGUCGAUGAUGACGACGCCCUCUCCAACGGCCAACAAGAACUGGAGGAGUAGCUGCAGCCGGACUCCAUCGAAGUCUUCAUGCCUCCGGUUCACAUGUUGCGCUUCUCCCACCUGGCCUUCAUCCUCAUUGACCUGCCGCCUCCCAACCUUAGCUCCCUUGUCCGCCAAGCUCUCAUCGCCCAGGGUGGCCAUCCUCGGGUAACCCUCACCAUCUCUUCCUACAAUGCCGCUUUGGUUAUGUUUGAAAGUAAUGCUGCUCGUGAGGACGCCGUCCAGCUUGCCUCCUACCUGGGGUAUGAACACGUCGUCAACCUGGAGUGCCACAAGGAGACCCCCAACCGUUUCCACUUCUAGCGUGAUGCCUUCGUUGUCGUCGCUAUUUGAGGGUACCCGAUGGAGCAUUGGAAGCGCAUCAUCUUCUCCGUGGGUCCCUAUGCCAAUCCACACUUCAUCGACCCAAUCUGCCUGUCUGGUACGGAUUUCUCCGUUGUGCUCCUCAUGCUCAAGGUCGAGGGUGCCAAUGACAUCCCGCUCAAGGAGUUCAUCAAGAACCAUAAUGAGUUAGGCUCCUUCGCCACCAUCAAGAUCCUGCACGUUAGGACCUGGACGAAUCAGACUCGGACGAUGAUGGCCCUCAGCCCCCUGAAUCCAGCCUUGGGUCGCCGCUCAACAACAACAAUGGUGGUGGCCCAGCACCUCCUGGGAGGGGGGAGGGCUGGCCAUGGCCCAGCUACAGCAUCGAUGUUCAGUGCUCCCCUUCACGGGCCAGGUGGUGGCGGUGGCGCUCAACAACUCCAAGUGGUGCGCGCUCCCUGCAGAUCAGGCCUCAGCAUUCCUGUCUGCUGCGGAUGUUCUGCUGGUCCAAGUGGGCAGGCUCCGCAACCAGGUCGUGCUGCCUGAGGCCAAUGCGCAGCCCCUCCUCACCAAACCUGCAACCGUGAACAUCAUCCUGCGCCAGGGAUCAUUAUUUGAGAUCUCCACCAUCGCAAAGGAUGGAUCCAAAGGCUUCUUCAAAGUCCCGCUCCAGCUGUACCGCACUGAUGUUCGUGGUGACCAGGGGAUGUUCGUCAUCAACUUCUGCUUCGUCUCCGGCUUCCUACACAAGGUGGCAGCAGUGGGUGCCCGUGGCUGCGCCUCCUUCUCCUCUGACAUCCUCUGUGUGGGGCUGCAGCCACCAGCGAACUUGUCCCUCCUCGAUGCCACCAAGCUCUGCGAUGGGGCUGCUGUCCCCCGCAUCCUGCCGCCUAUCGCUACUGAUGCGAGGGCUCUGGCACCGGAACCUCCAGUGCUGGAGGCUGUGGAGGGUGCAGCUGCACCAUCCUCACUAAGCUUCAACUCCCUGGAGGAAGGAGUCCACCACUGCAGCAGGCUGGAAGCAUUCUACGACAUCUGGAAGUGCAACCACAUCAUCGAGGAUGUCCCGGUGCCGCUUGUUGAGCUGUGGUUCAGCGUCUCAGCCUCCUCCAUCACCCUCCAGAGGGAGCUCUCCUUGCUGGAGCCUUUACCACACACUGGCGCCACUCCGACUCCCCCACCAGUGGUCAUGAUCCCCACUCCGCCGCUGGCUGAUGAUGACCGCCGCCGCCGCGACUAGCUUAAAGCCAAGGAGCUGGCCGCUUGCGAGAUGGUCUCCGAGGAUGCCAUCCGCAUCAAGAAGUGGAUGCUGGGCACCGUGACUCCACCCUCAGCUCCUAACCCUGCUACCAACGGGAAAGCCAACGGGAACGUGAACACUGAUGCUGUUGAAAAUGAUCCUACGCACAUCGCGGCCACCACUACUCCUACUGCAAUGGCUGCACCUGCUUUCCCGACCCUAGCCUGGUGUGUGGUGGACCUCAAGCUCCUGGGUCGUGCCUGCUGCUUGCCUCAACACCCUCGACAAUGCCCUGUCACUGAUCGUCGACAAUGUGGACUAAUGCCGUGGUGUAGUCCUCACUUGCUCAUGCUCCAGUCUCUCUUUUGCUCAUGCGAUUGUGGGUCAUGUAAUGUAAUCACCCUCGACAAUGCCCUGUCACUGAUCGUCGACAAUGUGGACUAAUACCGUGGUGUAGUCCUCACUUGCUCAUGCUCCAGUCUCUCUUUUGCUCAUGCUUUUGUGGGUCAUGUAAUGUAAUCACCUACCAGCUGCCUAGAAUGCUUGUUGUCAGUGAAACUUUGUGCGCUUGUCGUCUGAACCUAAAGAGGUGCCCUUGUGGCCUCCUCUCGCCAUCGGAGCAUGAUAUUUGUGACUUGUUUGCCUAUAUCGUGUCUCUGUGUGUGCUGAUUCUCCUUGCCUGGGUCUACUCAUGUUCUAGUUCAUGUGGUUCUUGGGUUUUUUAUGGCUAACAACUCUCUAAACAUGUCAUGGAAUGUGCGUGGCCUGGGGGAUAAGAAGAAGUGCAUGGAUGUCCGAUUGGCCUUCCCAGCCUCCUUGCCUACCAUUGCUAGCCUCUAAGAAACUAAACUACAUGUCAAUAUUUUAUACCCGGCAACCUACCGAGGGGUAUCCCGAGGUAGUAGAUUGAUCGGUAGGGGAUCAUUGGACCUGGAACUCGAAGGUGAAAGCGAAGCAAGACACAGAUUUAUACAGGUUUGAGCCACCAGAGUAGCGUAAUACCCUACGUCCUGUUUGGGGUGUUGUAUAUUGCGUCCUACGCUUGGGCGUUGUUUGGUGUUGAGGAUUUGGUCCUCUAUUAUGGUUCUAUGAGGUCUUAGCCUACUGAUCUAGUGACCCCUGCGCUCCUUUAUAUGCUCCAGGGGGCGGGAUUACUUGUCGGUUACAAGGAGUCCUAGCAGGAUUACAUGGUAUGAGUUCUAAUAGGAUUACAGAGGAAUCCUAGUAGGAUUCCAUCUUCUUCCUUCCUUGCGAGUACGGGGGAUCUAUCCCCAACAAGCCCCCGAGCGCUUCAUAGUCAAAUGUAACAACUCAAGUACUUUUUAGAUCCUCGCCGAGUAAUUUAGUGCUUCUCGAGUACUUUGUCUGGCUAAAUCUUCAAACAUACUUGAGCAUUGCCGUGCGGCUAGAAUGUGCUUAAGCCUGAUUUAACUUGGUCUGGAUGGGGUGCCUAUGGCUACUGCCAUGUUGACUACGUUGGGAUGGGGUGUGUGGAACUGAGUGUAUCGGGUUUUGCUGAUCGAGUUGUUCGUACACGUGCUUUGCCAGUUCAGCCAAUUGCCUGGUGUAUUUAUCCUGUGGCAUUGCGCGGGUAAUAAGAUCAAUGAACGCGAUGAUGGCAAGAGGGGUACGAUGUUGACGUGAUUGAACCGCUUCAAACUCGUGAUCCAGGUUCAUGAUUGGUAGGUCUGCUGCAAGGUGGUGCUCUGCUCUUGCAGCGUUCCUUACUCGUCGUCGAGUUCUUUGAGCUUCAGUCUCUUCUCCAGCAACAUUAGCGGUGAGCUCAUCCUGCAAGACGUCAUCUAGGUGACAUUCAUGCCGCGGAUUUCUCUUUGGUUGCUCUUCAUCUUCACACUCUUGUCCAGCAAUAAGAGCGAAGAGUUUUCGUUUCGUAGAGUAGCUUCCCGAACUUGACGUGAUGACCUCCUUGGUGCCCUCUUCCUCAUAGAUGGGUGACAGACGAGCUCCCUCCUAGUACAGGAGGGUGUAUGGUAGGCAAUAAGGUGUGAAUCGUCGUUCUUGGUAAGAGAGGUGGCUUCAUGUCGAGCUAGACGAAUCUGCCUUGUGAGGUUGAUGUGAUUACCAGGCCCUACUGCAAACCUGAUAAAGGGGUCUCCUCAUCCAAAUCCGAGUAGUAGUCGGGGUCCUCGAUCAUAUUUGUGCCGAAUUGUGAUCUGGACAGGGUAGCUUGGUAAAUAGCACCUGUGUUUCGGAGUCCUAACGGAAAUUGACUUGGGUCGUAGUCCGAUUUGCACGAUGGCUUGAGCGCCGGCUCGUGAAAACCAGUCCGACUAGUGGGAAAAGUCAAGUUGUACUCGGAUUCGUCCCCCUGGCCUCUGACUAAGUCAAAAAUUGAAAAUUUGCUGAAUUUGUCGACGAGAUCCUCCAGGGCCUUACGCUGGAGCUUCAUGGCAUGCUGCUUCUUCUCCAAGGCCGGCACGAUUUAGCGGUGGAAGUUUCCAGCAUUGUCUGCGACGCAAACUCAGGAGCCUAAGAUGAACGUCACGCCUAUUUUGAAUGUGAUGAUUGGCUUGAUGACGACUUGGGCCAUCAAGUUCGCCAGUGGAUUCUCAGCGAGCUCCCUUACUUGGCGCGUCAGCCGUCCUGUGUGUUGGUUGUUGUAUAUUGCACCCUGUGUGUUGAGGAUUUGGUCCUCUGUUGUGAUUCUCUAUAUGCCGAUGUAGGUACCCCUGCCCUCCUUUAUAUACUCCAGGAGGCGGGAUUACUAGCCGGUUAUAAGGUAGAAGUCCUAGUAGGAUUACAUGGUAUGAGACCUAAUAAGAUUACAGAAGAAUUCUAGUCGGAGUCCAUCUUCUUCCUUCCUUGCGGGUAGUGGGGAUCUAUAGGAUGUCGACCGUUUCAAGGCGGCUUCCAUUCUUUCCCACCCAAUUGCCAUGACCUACAACUUCAACCCCUCCAUUAGCGCCUUCGGCGGCAUCCUCACCGCCUGGAACCCCAACCACCUCUCGCUCACCUCAUCAUCCACCUCUGCUCACACCCUCACCUCCACCUUUCAGUCUACAGCCAACUGCUCCACCUUCAUUGUGAUGAAUUGCUACGGUCCUUGUGCCCACCAGGACAAGCAGGCCUUCUUGGACGAGUUAACUUCGCUUUCCUCUUCUAUUUCAGGUGCAUGGAUUGUGCUAGGGGAUUUCAAUCUUGUUCGUUCUCCUGGAGAACGUUCCAAUGACAACUUCGACAUCCACGAAGCUGAUUGGUUCAACUCAAUGAUUGAUGAUCUCGCACUCCUGGAAGUCCCUCUUUUGGACCGUCGGUUCACUUGGUCCAACCACCAGUAGUCACCUAUCUUGGUCGUGUUGGAUCGUUUCCUGGUUAACGUUGAUUGGAGUAAGCAGUUCCCGAAUGCUGCAGCUACUUCAGCUUCUGUGCUGAUCUCAGAUCAUCGCCAGGUCCUACUCACGGCCUCCAUGUCCAUUCCACGACCGAUGAUCUUUCGAUUCAACAACCACUGGACUUGGGUGCCAGGCUGCCACGAAGUCAUAAGGGGGCAUGGUCUAGUGUUCAUAGCUGCACGGAUUCUACUAAGCUAAUGCUUUGACUCAAGAGGUGUCGUGCUGAUCUUAAGUCCUAGAAGCACUCUCACCGCUCACCGUGCAACGUCUUGCUCAACUGCAGCUUGGUCAUUGCAAUGAUGGGAGGUCCGCCCGCUCUAUCCUACAGAAUUUGUUCUCCGUUCUCUGGUGCGUGAUGCUACUCGCGAGCAUACUGCACAGCUUUCCAUCUUUUGGUGACAGUGAAGCAAGGUUCAUUCCUGCCUUCUGAGUGAUGCCAAUUCUAAAUUUCAUCACUUAUCUACAACGGUCCGUUGGCGCCGCAAUCAGAUUAGGACACUUCAACUGGAUGAUGGCAUAGAGGUUCAUGGUCACUCUGCGAAGGCUAUGCUUCUACGUGACUUCUACAGUCGCUCCUUGGUGUUGCUGAUCCGGCAACCUCUUUGCUCUUCACUAUAUCACUGCAACAGCUUUUUGCCUCAACCACUUUGUCACUCACUCAAGCUGCUAGUCUGAUUCAGCCAUUCACCAUUGAUGAGCUCAAGGAUAUUAUCAACCAUAUGCGUAUGGACACUGCUCCUGGACCAGAUGGAUUUCCCCCCAAUGUUCUUCUAGGCUAACUUUGCCAUGGUCAAGGAUGACCACAUGCAGCUCUUACACAACUUCCACAACUGCACGACUGAGCUCCACUGGUUUAACAAGGCUUAUCUUGCACUGCUAAUAAAGAAAGAUGUCUCCCUGCUGCCGAAGGACUACCGGCCAAUUUCAUUGCAAAACUGCAUCAUUAAGAUUUGCACCAAAGACAUGACAUCGCAGUUCCAACCUCUUAUUCCCCUCUUGGUGCAUUGUGAUCAAACAGGGUUCCUCAAGGGUAGGUGUAUCGCUGAGAACUUCAUCUAUGCCACUGAGAUUGUCCAAUGUUGUCACGAAAGAAAGGCACCUACUGUGGUUCAUAAGUUGGACUUCCGAAAGGCCCUUGACUCUAUCAGUUGGAACGCUCUUGAUCUCAUCCUGCAAGUGAAAGGGUUCCCUCCCUAUGGUGUAAGUGGAUUCAGCUCCUCAAUGACUCUAGCCAAACGGCCGUUGUCCUCAACAGCGUGCUAGGAUCUUGGAUACAAUGCAGAAAAGGUCUCUGCCAAGUCGAUCCACUCUUCGCAUACCUCUUCAUCCUUGUUGUGGUUUUGCCGCAACAAAUGAUCCUCCAUGCCUCCAACCAGGGCCUCCUGCAACACUCGCUAGUGAUGGAUUUGCCUUGCUCAAUCCUUUAGUACGCUUAUGACACCUCAAUUGUGCUCAAGGCAGAUCAGGACCAGCUUCUUCACCUCAAGUCACUCCUUGAUAGCUUCUUCUUCACUGGCCUCCAUAUCAACUACGACAAGAGUACCUUUGUGCCAAUUGGAUUGGAUGGUCAACAAGAACAAAUGCUUGCUGCGUCAUUGGGUUGCCCAAUCGUCCAAUUCCCACAGAUCUACCUGGGACUUCCUCUAUCUGUUCACAAGCUCCGGUGCGAGGAUAUGCAGCCUCUAGUCAACGUUGUUGGCAACUACAUCCCGGGUUGGUGCGGCAAGAUCCUCACGCCUAGUGAGUGUAUGAUCCUUGCCAACGCUGUCCUGGGUGCACGAUCAAUCUAUGCCAUAUGUUCAUCUGCUUACCCAAGGGCACAAUUGAAGCCAUCGACGCUCACCGGCGAGCGUUCUUAUGGACCGGGGAUGCCUCCUGCUCUGGAGGACAGUGCAAAGCUGCCUGGAUAAUGGUCUUUUUUGACAAGGAUAAGGGUGUCCUCGGUUUUAAGGAUCUUGCAACACAAAACCAUGGCCUCCUACUCAAAUUCGUAGCCAAGCUCCAUCAACCACCUUCGACCAACUGGCAAAGAUGGUUCCAUCGCAUGUAUGUCUCUGGUGUUGGAAGGGAACUUGGAGAGCUGCAUCAUCUUGACACACAUAUCUGGUAAUCUCUUCUGUGGCUACUGCCUGAGUUCCACUAGUGCACACGAGUGCACCUGGGUAAUGGCGGCAGCACAUCAUUUUGGUUUGAUCACUAGAUUGGAGAGCGAUCGUUUUCUGAAGUGUUCCCAGUUCUAUUCUCUUUCACCAAGAAUCCACAGCUAUCUGUUGGGAAGGCCUUUGUUAAUGGCUCAUGGGAUCUCUCUCUACACCAACGACCGUCUUCUGCUGGAAUCUUUGGCUGUGAUCAACAACACCUCCUCCCCUGACAGGCACGGAAUCGGGAUUGGCCUACAAUCAUUCUCCUCCUCAGCCUUCUAUGGGUGGACGAUGGAACAGCGCCCACUAGAUGAGUUCGCUGACUACAUCUGGUCCAGCGUCACGACGCCACGCGCCAAGCAUUUUCUAUGGCUGCUGCACCGUGAUCGCCUGCCUUCCACGAUGUUGCUUCAUCACAACAGCAUCAUUGACUCAACACUCUAUGCUUACUGUGCUGCACACGAGGAUCAGGAUCACAUCAUCAUAAGGUGUGCACAAGCUAAACGUAUCUGGCGUGCCCUAUGCUGGGAUUGUGCUUCGCACCUUGUGUCCUUCUGAGACCUCUGGCACAUCCUGCAACUCCAUGAUGAUGCAUCACCCAAGGUGCGCUCAACCAUCGUCACGGCCAUUACCUGGAACAUCUAGAAAACAUGGAAUGACUUGGUUUUCAAUGGGAUCGUUGCCUCGGCGAACGCAUGCAUCCAUGCAAUCGCGUCGGAUAUUGAUCUCUGGGUUCACCGCACUAGGAACGCAGAUUCUCUCUUUCUCAAGGCGUGGAGUUCAUCUCUUUGUAAUAUACCAUAGCUAAAUUACUCCUUCUCUCAUCCCCUCCUCUCAUAAAUCCUGUAUGCAACAACUUUGUCAUAUUAAUAUAAUGUUCAGGCUAGCUUCUUGCCUGCCGUAGCACCCUUCAAAAAAAAGUAGCAAAUUUUAUGAGUAUGACAACAGAUAGGACAUGUUACAAGCAAUAACUAAAGUGAAAUGCUGCAGUCUUGCAAACGGCAAACACUAGCGUGAUGACAUCUUAACAACGAUACUAAUGCUAUCAAGUAGUUGUCUUUGGAGAAAAAUGCUACCAAGUAGCACUAGUAGAGAAACAACUUUCCAUCUAGCAACAUAAAUCUCGAACGGUUUUGGACCCGGGACUAAAGGUCUAAAUUUUAGAGUCUCUCAGAUCCCUUUUAAUCCUGGUUGGUGGUUCCAGCCAAGAUAAAAGAGGAGCUUUUAGUCCCGGUUGGAGCCACCAACCCAGAUAAAUGAGCACAGAACCCAUUAGUCCUAGCUAGUGGCUCUAACCAGGACUAAAAGACCCCUUUUAAUUUCGGUUGGAGCCACCAAACAGGACUAAGUAUUUUUACCGCUGGCGGCCCCUCUCUCCACCUUAUCUUCUCUCCUCCUCUCCCCUUCUCCCUUAUCUCCUCUCAUUUUCUCCCUUAUCUCCAGGCACAGGCGUUAUCUGAAUGCGCGUUGGGGGGGCACGAGCGGUUGGGGCCGUGUGGCUAGCGUGGGAGCGCACAGGCCGGCGGGGCACGCAGCGGUCGGGACCGCCUCCCGCGGCCGAUCUGCUAGGGGCGGCGGAGCGCCAGCGGCCAUAACCAAGGCCAUAGAGCGGCGUGCGUCCUGGGGGCACGGCGGCCGCCAUGGCCCGACCUCUAGCGGGAACGCAACUCCACGCGGCAUGCCAUCUCCGCGACGCACGACCGGUGGCAGGAGCGCAGCGGUGGGGGCACGAGCGCCGGGGCCGUGCAGCUGGCGCGGGAGCGCACGGGCUAGCGGGGCAUGCGGCGGCCAGGACUGCCUCCCGCGGCCGGCCUGCUAGGGGCGGCGGGGUGCUGGCGGCCGUGGCCAAGGCCAUGGAGUGGCGUACGGCCUGGGGGCAUGGUGGCCGGCACAGCUCAGCCUCCAACGGGGGCGCGGCUCCCCGCGGUGCGCGAUCGGCGGCGGCAGCGCGACGGUGGGGGGCACGAGCAGCUGGGGCCGCGCAGCUGGCGCGGGAGCGCACGGUCCGGCGGGGCACGCGGUGGCCGGGACCACCUCCCGCGGCCGGCCUACUAGAGGCGGUGGGGUGCCGGCGGCCGUGGCCAAGGCCAUGGAACGGCGCGCGGCCUGGGGGCACGACGACCGGCGCCGCCCGACCUCCAACGGGGGCGCGGCUCCUCGCGGCAUGCGACUGGCGGCAGGAGCGUGGCGGUGGGGGGCACAAGCAGCGCAGCGCAGGUGGCCCUGCAUGGUUUGUUUGUGAGUGAAUAGUGAUUCAGUAGUGCAUGAUUUGUGCGAAUUGUUUAUUGUGUAUCACGUCUUGUGCGAAUUGAUUGGUUGUGUGUUCUUGCUCAUCACUGGAGACGGCAUGAUUUCUCUAUCUAGGUUUUGGUUAGUCUUUAUGCUGAAAAAAGAUUGCUACCAUCUAUGCUAUCAAGCUCGAUCUUCACAGAGGAAUGCAUCAUAUUGAAGUAUAGAGCUGCAUGCAUCGACCAGUUCAAAUAAAAACUUAUAUUGAUAGGGAAAUCUCAGUUACACUUCAACACAUCCAUUACUUUUCCUUAUAGCACUAGUAGGGAACUGAUCUUCCAUCCAGAUGCUUUUAUCCUGGUUGACUUUGGACCCGGGACUAAAGUGCCUUUAGUCCUAGGUCAGAAACACCAACCGGGACUAAAGACCCCCCCUUUAAUCCCGGUUGGUGUUUCUAAUCGGGACAGAAGACCCCCGUCCCACGCACCCCCCUCUCCACCUUAUUUUCUCCUCACCCUUUCUCCCUCCCUUAUCCUCGCGCACCGCCUCCUCUCUCCCUCCACCGCACCUUCCUCUCCUCCUCUCUCCAUCCACCGUGCCUCCCUCUCCUCCCUCCCUUAUCCUCGUGCUGCGCCUCCCCUUCCCCCUCUGCUCGCCCCUCACUGGCAGUGAGGAGCGGCAGCGGGGCGAGGCAAGGCAAGUGGCGGGCGCGAGCGGGCCGGCGGCUGGCAGGCACGGUGCGGGCGAGCGGGCGGGUGAGCGGAGGCGGAGCAAAGGCGGACAAGGGCGGGCGGAGGCGAAGCCGAGGCGGGCCCAUUUUUUAUUUUGUUUAACUUUUUAGUCCCGCUUGGUAAUACCAACCGGGACUAAAGGAGGUCUUAGUCAUGAGUGAAUGAACCGGGACCAAAGGACCCCCCCCCCCCCGUCUCAAAAAUUUAGUCCCGCUUGAAUUUUCGGGAUCUAUGGCACUAUCCAACCGGGACUAAAGCCGCGUUUUCCACCAGCGUAGGAAGGAAGAAUAUUGAGAUGUCGCUUGUCCUCUGUAUCCACAGUCACCUGCUUGAUACGUGUUAAAUUAUGUAAAGGAACCUUUGGAGAACAUUUGCAAAAAAAAGCUAUGCACUUUUGAAUUCUCCAACUGGCUGUGGACUAAAUUGUAGUAAAUCACAAGUAAAUGGAGCCAGUCAUCUGCUCCCAUGUGUUUUGAAAGGUCUCAUUUGUAUUGAAUCUGUGAUCCUCUUCCCCACCAACCACCUUAAGUCUAUUGUCAUCCUAGCAUAAACAUUGGCUGGCUAUUAAUUUGCUUUCUAGCCAUUAUUGUUAUUGCCUCUCAUGCUCAGAUGUUUUACAAGUAUGCAUGCCUCUCCCCUCUUCUGUAAAAAAAAAAACCAUCGCAUUUUCCUAGCUUGAUCUCUUCCUGUGCCAUCUUCACCUUCGCCGCUGCUUCAUUCACGCACACCCAGCUUGGAAUGAGAGGUACCAACAAAUUAACUGUGUGGCUCAUAUUUUCCACCUGUCACCAAAAAUUUUAAAUCCACUUGAAUAAAUUCCACGGUUUUGGCAUUCACGGGUGUUCAUAACACAUACCAACAAAACGAUGAGAUAGUAAGAUAUUGAGGUAGCAAUGGAUGGCAAGCUUGAACCUAAUCCCUUAGUUUUACCAUGCCUAACGGGAAGAUUUAAUUUGCAUCAAUACGGUACUAAUAGAUUGAACUUCAUGGUAAAUAUAUGAAUUUGUGGAUAAAAUAAACAAGUCAAAUAAUCGAACAUUGAAGAAAACAUAUAUAGUUCCAAAUAACCAUAGUAGUACAUAAUAUUUUGAAUCAAUAAGGUUGAGAUUUAUUGAUUUUUGCAAUGGUGAAUAAUUUAUAAUUUAAAUCUUGGGUGGAGUCUACAAACUGCAUGGAGUCUACCAUUUUGUUCUGACAUAUAUACACUCCAAUAAGGUAGUAAACAACUAAUCAUUAGGGAUAUUGGCGCUGCCCAAUGCUUAUUAGAAAGGUAGUAAUAAAUAAUCUACCUAUUAUCUUAGUUUUUCACCAAUAAAAGAAGGGCAACAGAAGUCAUAGAAAUUGCCACAUUAGCGAGGGCAAAUUAUCCAUAUACUUGUUUAUAAAGUACCCACCCACUAGUCCACUACUCUUCCACAAAUAAUUAUGCCAAAAUACCCCAUAUACCUACUUCUGCAUGACCCACCACUACCAUAAUGCAAAACUAAGCCAAGUUAUGCGCUAUUGAAUUCUCAAACCGGCACGUAUGUGAAUUUGGGAUGGUGGGGUAUUCUUUAUUUAGCAUGUGCCCAUGCGGCCUCGACCAACCAUCCUGGCCUUGUUUAGUUCCCAAUUUGGGAGUGUCAAAAUUGGCAUUUUGCCAUAAAUGCGCAACUGUAGCAUUUCGUUUGUAUUUGUGAAUUAUUGUCCAAACAUUGACUAAUUAGGCUCAAAAGAUUCGUCUCGCAAAGUACAACAAAACUGUGCAAUUAGUUUUUGAUUUCAUCUACAUUUAGUACUCCAUGCAUGUACCGCAAGUUUGAUGUGAUGGGGAAUCUUCUUUUUGCAUAGUGCUAAAGUUGGAAUUUUGGAGGGAAGUAAACAAGGGUCUAAUCCUGCGGGCCGCAAGCUUGCAGCGCCCACAAAUAAAAAUAAAUUGGGACCAUGUAGCCUGUUGCUUCAGUACCUUGUGCCACUCUGAUCGAUAUCGCAUCUGAUUAUGACCAUAUAGUAGUCAAUAAGCUGCAGGUAGGCUAGCUUUCAUUGUCGUUCCGCACUGCAGGACUGCAAUCCUGCCUAGUACAUGCAUAGAAAUCAACUAGCUAGAAAUGGGAGGUAUCGGAAGUUCCUAAUCACUACAUGCAAGCUUUUUCUCUGAGGAUUCUAGAUGCAUCGUCUAAUGAACGUAGAUGAGGAAAGGUUGCUAUCAUCCAUCUAUCUCCCAUCACAUCAGGCUCUCAGGACGCUUCACGGAGGACUCAUGGCUAUGGAUUUUGUUGUGCCGAACAUGGGGUUGAGGCUUCCAAGAGGAAGCGGAACCUUUUGGCAUGCUCACCGCCUCUUGCUUGGCACUCGGCACCUGCUGGCUGUAAUGUGCACGCUGCCCACUGGUACCUGGUACCGUUGGUGCUGCCGGUUUGGCGUGCACUAGGAGACAAAAAGUCCCGGGUCUAAAUUUUAUAGUCUCUCGAAACCCUUUUAAUCUCGUUUGGUAGUUUCAAUCAAGAUAAAAGUGGAGCUUUUAGUCUUAGUUGGAGCCACCAACCCUAAUAAAUGAGCAUAGAAACCAUUAGUCCCGGUUGGAGCCACCAACCGGGACUACAUAUUUUUACCGCAGGCGGCCCCUCUCUCUCCACCCUGUCUUCUCUCCUCCUCUCCCCUUCUUCCUUAUCUUCUCUCAUUUUCUCCCUUAUCUCCACAUAGGCGUUAUCUGAGCGCGCAAUGGGGGGCACGAGCGACCCGGGCCACACGGCUGGUGUGGGAGUGCACGGGCCAGCGGGGCACGCGGCGGUCGGCCUGCUAGGGGCGGCGUGGCGCUAGCGGCCGUGGCCAAGGCCAUGGAGCGGCGCCGGCCUAGGGGCAUGGCGGCAGGCGCGGCCCGUCCGGCCAGCGGGGGUGCGGCUCCCCGCGGCAUGCCGGCCGGCUCCCCGCGCGCACGACAUCCGCAGGAGCACAGCGGUGAGGGGCAUGAGCAGCCAGGGCCGCGCGGCUGGCGCGGGAGCACACGGGCUGGCGGGGCACGCGGCGGUCGGGACCGCCUCCCACGGCCGGCCUGCUAGGGGUGGCUGGGUGCCGACGGCCGUGGCCAAGGCCAUGGAGUGGUGUGCGGCCUGGGGGCACAAAGGCUAGCUCGGCCUCCAACGGGGGCAUGGCUCCCCACGGCACGCGAUCGGUGGCAGGAGCGCGGUGGGGGGGGGCACAAGCGGCCGGGGCUGCGCGGCUGGCGUGGGAGCGCAUGGGCCAGCGGGGCACACGGUGGCCGGGACCGUUUUCCGUGGCCGGCCUGCUAGGGGCGGCGGGGUGCCGGCGGCCGUGCCCAAGGCCAUGGAGCGGCGCGCGGCCUGGGGGCACGGCAGUUGACGCCGUCCGGCCAGCGGGGGCGCAGCUCCCCGUGGCGUGCGACCGGCGGCAGGAGCACGGCGGUGGGAGGCACGAGCGGCGCAGUGCAGGCGGCCCGACAUGAUUUGUUUGUGAGUGAAUAGUGAUCUAGUAGUGCAUGAUUUGUGCGAAUUGUGUAUUGUGUAUCAGAUUUUGUGCGAAUUGAUUGGUUGUGUGUUCUUACUUGUGUGAUGAUCAUGUGAGAUGAGCAUAUUUUUUUUGCUUCAAUUUGUGAAGCAUCAAUUGUUUCUUGCUCUUGAUUUGGUUGUCUCGGUGGUGAAGUUGGAGCUGAGGUGGUACGGUGGUCGAGGCAGAGCUGUAGGGGUGGCGGCGCGAGCAGGCAAGACGGAGGGCGGCCCACUUUUUUUUAUUUUUUCAGAAUACUUUUAGUUCCGGUUGGUGCUACCAACCGGAUCUUUAGUCCCGAAUGAUUAGUCCUGGUUGGAUUUUCAAGACCUAUAUGUCUCUCCAACUGGGAUUAAAGCUCAGUUUUUCAUCAGUGUAGUUGUCAAUAAAAAGUUGUAUGGUGCAACAGAUAACUCAAUAAAUUCCAAUCCCAGUACAUAUUAUUUAGGAGGCACACCUGGAUACACAAUCCAGUUCUCAGAUAAGAUUUACAAAAGAUGAUGGUAACUGAUUGCAAUCAAAAAAUUAAUGGCGUUGCCUUUGAUCAAGGAACCUUCCUGCCCGUGAGACUCACACGCAGCUAACCAGACGACGUCUGAACUGGAAAAAGCAGAAACCGCUAAUGGAAGCGUUUCAUAGCACCAACCACAGCACAAGCAAAAGAUGCUAAAAUAUCCUAUGCAAAUUGGGGAGCACGCAGCAAUCUCUGUAGAUUGCGUCAAUCAGUCGAUGGCGAUUAUCGGCAAUUCCGCGUGUCGCCUAGCAUUUGGGGAGAUCAGACGGCGGAGGCAGCAGCUUCUCUUUAGGCUUGUCUCCGUCCAGCACCAGCCAUGCCAUUUUCAGGCCCCAGCUGACGUGAACCUCCAAGUGGCAAUGCAUGAACCACACCCCUGCACACACGACUACUGUUAACAUUCUCCAAGAAGCUUGGGUUAUCCCAAACCAAAGUCACCUUUGCUUGCUCAUCAGAUCGUUGCUGAUCUGGCACAGUUAGUAUGUCACGGUAAUUUUUGAAUUCUUACCUGGAUUGUCUGCACGGAACCGGAUGGCCACCCAGCCGCCGGCCGGCACGCCGACGGUGUUCCGCUCGACGGGGUCGACGAGGUUGUACUGGGCCGGGUCCUUGACGGGGUCGAAGUUGCCGAAGCCUUGGCCAACGACGAAGAAGUUGAAGCCGUGGAGGUGCAGCGGGUGGCUCUCGUUGCCGAGGAUGCUGGUGCCCUGCAUCACCAGCUCCACGCUGGUGCCGUACGGGAGCACCACCAGCUUGGUCCCGUUGGACACGUUGGUGU
Molecule: long non-coding RNA, 23200 nt
Filed under: Setaria italica (foxtail millet)
Lineage: Eukaryota; Viridiplantae; Streptophyta; Magnoliopsida; Poales; Poaceae
Description: long non-coding RNA (SITA_LNC004087)
Source: RNAcentral